RNAcentral lists this ribosomal RNA (274 nucleotides) under uncultured bacterium. RNAcentral describes it as "partial 16S ribosomal RNA". It matches the Rfam family "Bacterial small subunit ribosomal RNA", at positions 523 to 796 of the family's 1533-position model. The record is from RNAcentral.
AUACAGAGGGUGCGAGCGUUAAUCGGAAUUACUGGGCGUAAAGCGCGCGUAGGCGGCUUAUUAAGUCAGAUGUGAAAUCCCCGGGCUCAACCUGGGAACUGCAUCUGAUACUGGUAAGCUAGAGUUUUGGAGAGGGAAGUAGAAUUUCAGGUGUAGCGGUGAAAUGCAUAGAGAUCUGAAGGAAUACCAGUGGCGAAGGCGACUUCCUGGCCAAAAACUGACGCUGAGGUGCGAAAGCGUGGGUAGCAAACGGGAUUAGAUACCCCGGUAGUCC